Molecule: ribosomal RNA, 116 nt
Filed under: Klebsiella pneumoniae
Lineage: Bacteria; Pseudomonadati; Pseudomonadota; Gammaproteobacteria; Enterobacterales; Enterobacteriaceae
Also listed under: 4 other names
Source: RNAcentral
CCUGGCGGCACUAGCGCGGUGGUCCCACCUGACCCCAUGCCGAACUCAGAAGUGAAACGCCGUAGUGCCGAUGGUAGUGUGGGGUCUCCCCAUGUGAGAGUAGGGAACUGCCAGGC